UACGUAGGGAGCAAGCGUUGUCCGGAAUCAUUGGGCGUAAAGCGCGCGUAGGCGGCCCGGUAAGUCCGCUGUAAAAGUCCAGGGCUCAACCCUGGAACGCCGGUGGAUACUGUCGGGCUAGAGUCCGGAAGAGGCGAGUGGAAUUCCUGGUGUAGCGGUGGAAUGCGCAGAUAUCAGGAGGAACACCGAUGGCGAAGGCAGCUCGCUGGGACGGUACUGACGCUGAGGCGCGAAAGCGUGGGGAGCGAACAGG
Molecule: ribosomal RNA, 253 nt
Filed under: uncultured bacterium
Lineage: Bacteria
Description: partial 16S ribosomal RNA
Rfam family: Bacterial small subunit ribosomal RNA
Source: RNAcentral